RNAcentral lists this ribosomal RNA (438 nucleotides) under uncultured Lachnospiraceae bacterium. RNAcentral describes it as "bacterial SSU rRNA". It matches the Rfam family "Bacterial small subunit ribosomal RNA", at positions 341 to 792 of the family's 1533-position model. The record is from RNAcentral. Lineage: Bacteria; Bacillati; Bacillota; Clostridia; Lachnospirales; Lachnospiraceae.
ACGGAAGGCAGCAGUGGGGAAUAUUGGGCAAUGGGCGAAAGCCUGACCCAGCAACGCCGCGUGAAGGAAGAAGGUCUUCGGAUUGUAAACUUCUUUUAUGAGGGACGAAGGACGUGACGGUACCUCAUGAAUAAGCCACGGCUAACUACGUGCCAGCAGCCGCGGUAAUACGUAGGGGGCAAGCGUUAUCCGGAUUUACUGGGUGUAAAGGGAGUGUAGGUGGUUUGGCAAGCCAGAUGUGAAAGCCCGGGGCUCAACCCCGCGGACUGCAUUUGGAACUGUUAAACUUGAGUGCAGGAGAGGAAAGUGGAAUUCCUAGUGUAGCGGUGAAAUGCGUAGAUAUUAGGAGGAACACCAGUGGCGAAGGCGGCUUUCUGGACUGUAACUGACACUGAGGCUCGAAAGCGUGGGGAGCAAACAGGAUUAGAUACCCUGGUA